RNAcentral lists this ribosomal RNA (551 nucleotides) under Citrobacter gillenii. RNAcentral describes it as "bacterial SSU rRNA". It matches the Rfam family "Bacterial small subunit ribosomal RNA", at positions 838 to 1389 of the family's 1533-position model. Lineage: Bacteria; Pseudomonadati; Pseudomonadota; Gammaproteobacteria; Enterobacterales; Enterobacteriaceae. The record is from RNAcentral.
AGUGGCUUCCGGAGCUAACGCGUUAAGUCGACCGCCUGGGGAGUACGGCCGCAAGGUUAAAACUCAAAUGAAUUGACGGGGGCCCGCACAAGCGGUGGAGCAUGUGGUUUAAUUCGAUGCAACGCGAAGAACCUUACCUACUCUUGACAUCCACGGAAUUUAGCAGAGAUGCUUUAGUGCCUUCGGGAACCGUGAGAUAGGUGCUGCAUGGCUGUCGUCAGCUCGUGUUGUGAAAUGUUGGGUUAAGUCCCGCAACGAGCGCAACCCUUAUCCUUUGUUGCCAGCGGUUCGGCCGGGAACUCAAAGGAGACUGCCAGUGAUAAACUGGAGGAAGGUGGGGAUGACGUCAAGUCAUCAUGGCCCUUACGAGUAGGGCUACACACGUGCUACAAUGGCAUAUACAAAGAGAAGCGACCUCGCGAGAGCAAGCGGACCUCAUAAAGUAUGUCGUAGUCCGGAUUGGAGUCUGCAACUCGACUCCAUGAAGUCGGAAUCGCUAGUAAUCGUAGAUCAGAAUGGUACGGUGAAUACGUUCCCGGGCCUUGUACACA